Molecule: ribosomal RNA, 253 nt
Filed under: uncultured bacterium
Lineage: Bacteria
Description: partial 16S ribosomal RNA
Rfam family: Bacterial small subunit ribosomal RNA
Source: RNAcentral
UACGUAGGGGGCUAGAGUUGAUCGGAUUUAUUGGGCGUAAAGGGCAUGUCGGCGGUUAUGUAAGUGUGGAUUGAAAGAUGCAAGCUUAACUUGUUGGUUGGUCUGCAAACUACAUAACUAGAGUGCAGAGGGGGAAACUGGAAUUCCGCGUGUAGGGGUGAAAUCUGUAGAGAUGCGGAAGAAUACCUGUGGCGAAAGCGAGCUUCUGGUCUGCAACUGACGCUGAAAUGCGAAAGUGUGGGGAGCAAACAGG